RNAcentral lists this ribosomal RNA (253 nucleotides) under uncultured bacterium. RNAcentral's name for it is "partial 16S ribosomal RNA". It matches the Rfam family "Bacterial small subunit ribosomal RNA", at positions 524 to 776 of the family's 1533-position model. The record is from RNAcentral.
UACAUAGGGUGCAAGCGUUGUCCGGAAUCAUUGGGCGUAAAGAGCGUGUAGGCGGCCCGGUAAGUCCGCUGUGAAAGUCCAGGGCUCAACCCUGGGAUGCCGGUGGAUACUGUCGGGCUCGAGUCCGGAAGAGGAGUGUGGAAUUCCUGGUGUAGCGGUGAAAUGCGCAGAUAUCAGGAGGAACACCAAUGGCGAAGGCAGCACUCUGGGACGUGACUGACGCUGAGACGCGAAAGCGUGGGGAGCAAACAGG